This 429-nucleotide ribosomal RNA is filed under the name Pseudomonadota bacterium. Its description in RNAcentral is "Proteobacteria bacterium partial 16S ribosomal RNA". It matches the Rfam family "Bacterial small subunit ribosomal RNA", at positions 355 to 776 of the family's 1533-position model. The record is from RNAcentral. Lineage: Bacteria; Pseudomonadati; Pseudomonadota.
UGGGGAAUAUUGGACAAUGGGCGAAAGCCUGAUCCAGCCAUGCCGCGUGUGUGAAGAAGGUCUUCGGAUUGUAAAGCACUUUAAGUUGGGAGGAAGGGCAGUAAGCGAAUACCUUGCUGUUUUGACGUUACCGACAGAAUAAGCACCGGCUAACUCUGUGCCAGCAGCCGCGGUAAUACAGAGGGUGCAAGCGUUAAUCGGAAUUACUGGGCGUAAAGCGCGCGUAGGUGGUUCGUUAAGUUGAAUGUGAAAGCCCCGGGAUCAACCUGGGAACUGCAUCCAAAACUGGCGAGCUAGAGUAGGGCAGAGGGUGGGGGAAUUUCCUGUGUAGCGGUGAAAUGCGUAGGUAUAGGAAGGAACACCAGUGGCGAAGGCGAACACCUGGGCUCAUACUGACACUGAGGUGCGAAAGCGUGGGGAGCAAACAGG